Small nucleolar RNA from Lemur catta (Ring-tailed lemur), 103 nucleotides. RefSeq annotates it as small nucleolar RNA U13. Lineage: Eukaryota; Metazoa; Chordata; Mammalia; Primates; Lemuridae. The transcript has a single exon. The record is from RefSeq and is a predicted model, not a curated record.
AUCCUUUCUCAGUUCGUAAGUGUAGUGAUUGGGUUUUCACGCUCAUGUGUAGAUGCGACUCCCUCAAACCUUGUUACGAUAUUGGCACGUUAUCCUGCUGAUG